CCUACGGGUGGCAGCAGUAGGGAAUAUUGCUCAAUGGGGGAAACCCUGAACCAGCAACGCCGCGUGGAGGAUGAAGGUUUUCGGAUUGUAAACCUCCUUUGUUAGAGAAGAUAAUGACGGUACCUAACGAAUAAGUACCGGCUAACUCCGUGCCAGCAGCCGUGGUAAUACGGAGGGUGCAACCGUUACUCGGAAUCACUGGGCGUAAAGAGCGCGUAGGCGGGAUAGCAAGUCAGAUGUGAAAUCCUAUGGCUUAACCAUAGAACUGCAUUUGAAACUGUUAUUCUAGAGUAUGGGAGAGGUAGGUGGAAUGCUUGGUGUAGGGGUGAAAUCCGUAGAGAUCAAGAGGAAUACUGAUUGCGAAGGCGGCCUGCUAGAACAUAACUGACGCUGAUGCGCGAAAGCGUGGGGAGCAAACAGGAUUAGAUACCCGGGUAGUC
Molecule: ribosomal RNA, 440 nt
Filed under: uncultured bacterium
Lineage: Bacteria
Description: partial 16S ribosomal RNA
Rfam family: Bacterial small subunit ribosomal RNA
Source: RNAcentral